UUUGGUGGCGAUAGCGAAGAGGUCACACCCGUUCCCAUACCGAACACGGAAGUUAAGCUCUUCAGCCGCCGAUGGUAGUUGGGGGUUUCCCCCUGUGAGAGUAGGACGCCGCCAAGC
RNAcentral lists this ribosomal RNA (117 nucleotides) under Bacillus altitudinis. Lineage: Bacteria; Bacillati; Bacillota; Bacilli; Caryophanales; Bacillaceae. The record is from RNAcentral.